GAAACUGCGAAUGGCUCAUUAAAACAGUUAUAGUUUAUUUGAUGGUCUUUACUACAUGGAUAACCGUGGUAAUUCUAUGGCUAAUACAUGCGCACAUGCCUCUUCCCUCGUGGAAGGGUAGUGUUUAUUAGAUACAGAACCAACCCACCUUCGGGUGGUCCUCAGGUGAUUCAUAGUAACCGAACGGAUCGCAUUAUGGCCUUUUGGUCGGCGAUGGAUCAUUCAAGUUUCUGACCUAUCAGCUUUCGACGGUACU
RNAcentral lists this ribosomal RNA (256 nucleotides) under Sarcocystis falcatula. RNAcentral's name for it is "partial small subunit ribosomal RNA". It matches the Rfam family "Eukaryotic small subunit ribosomal RNA", at positions 83 to 332 of the family's 1831-position model. The record is from RNAcentral. Lineage: Eukaryota; Apicomplexa; Conoidasida; Eucoccidiorida; Sarcocystidae.